Molecule: transfer RNA, 73 nt
Organism: Camelus ferus (Wild Bactrian camel)
Lineage: Eukaryota; Metazoa; Chordata; Mammalia; Artiodactyla; Camelidae
Rfam family: tRNA
About the family: Transfer RNA (tRNA) molecules are approximately 80 nucleotides in length. Their secondary structure includes four short double-helical elements and three loops (D, anti-codon, and T loops). Further hydrogen bonds mediate the characteristic L-shaped molecular structure. tRNAs have two regions of fundamental functional importance: the anti-codon, which is responsible for specific mRNA codon recognition, and the 3' end, to which the tRNAs corresponding amino acid is attached (by aminoacyl-tRNA synthetases). tRNAs cope with the degeneracy of the genetic code in two manners: having more than one tRNA (with a specific anti-codon) for a particular amino acid; and 'wobble' base-pairing, i.e. permitting non-standard base-pairing at the 3rd anti-codon position.
Source: Rfam
GAGGGUAUAGCUCAAAUAGUAGAGCACAUGCUUAGGAUGCAUGAGGUCCUGGGUUCAAUCCCUAGUACCUCCU